This 284-nucleotide long non-coding RNA is filed under the name Brassica napus (rape). Its description in RNAcentral is "long non-coding RNA (BNAP_LNC004212)". Lineage: Eukaryota; Viridiplantae; Streptophyta; Magnoliopsida; Brassicales; Brassicaceae. The record is from RNAcentral.
AUUCAAAUAUAAUGUAAAAUCAUACUUUGUAUGUUUAUGUUUGUUAAUUUGAAUGCCUUUGCAGAAAAAUAUAAUUAAAUUCUUGAUCUAAAUUAUAAUUUUUUAGAAUAUAUAGAUUGUAUCUUAAUUAUAUACUAAAUUAAAUAAUUAUAGUUUUUAAAAUUAAAGAAGAAAAAAGCACUGAGAUUUUCUAAUUUCAAAGCGAAUGGGCCGAACAAAUGUUAUACUCUCGUUUUUAGCCCCAACGAAACCAGAAAAGGAAAGAAGAAGGGGUUUAAACAAAG